CCGACCUUAGCUCAGUUGGUAGAGCGGAGAAUUGUAGAUGGUUAAAAUAUCAGUUAUCCUUAGGUCGCUGGUUCGAAUCCGGCAGGUCGGA
This 91-nucleotide transfer RNA is filed under the name Musa acuminata subsp. malaccensis (wild Malaysian banana). It matches the Rfam family "tRNA". From Rfam's summary of the family: Transfer RNA (tRNA) molecules are approximately 80 nucleotides in length. Lineage: Eukaryota; Viridiplantae; Streptophyta; Magnoliopsida; Zingiberales; Musaceae. The record is from Rfam by way of RNAcentral.